GGCAGGUAUAUGUCACACAAAAACGCCGCCCACCUGGUCCGCCUCAACAGAGCGGCGAGUCAACGAGGAGGCAGCAGUGUACUGAGCAUUCUUGCAGGGACAACUUACCUGCAGUUCUCACCUUAUCGGUUUGUAAGACAGCCAUGCUGCGCUGUCUGUGGGUGUUGGUCCUUCUAGCGGCACUGUCGGUGACCUGCGCCAGACCAGGACCGUGGAGCCCUCAGACCAGUCGUACCUACGACCUAUUUCAGCUCGCAGCCAAAUAUGAACGCGCAAAGAGAUUGCAGCAAAUACUUCGUCAGGUCAACAGGCCACGCUGGGGGACAAAAACAGUCCCUAAGGAUGCCAGGACUAUUUUGAGAGAAAAACUGGCCGCAGAAUGGAGGAAUCGACUUCUGCAGAGUUUGGCGGGAUGAUUGGGAAUUGGGAGACCAGCACCCAGCAUGCAGGGUAUUACACAACGACGUACUAAGAGGAGCCGGAAUAACAUUAAUGAAUUUCAAUUUGGGACAGCAGCCGCCUGACACGGAUAAUUAUAGUGAAAACCGACA
Long non-coding RNA from Amphibalanus amphitrite, 551 nucleotides. RefSeq lists it as uncharacterized. NCBI's taxonomy places the organism in Eukaryota, Metazoa, Arthropoda, Thecostraca, Balanomorpha, Balanidae. The transcript is spliced from 2 exons. The record is from RefSeq and is a predicted model, not a curated record.